Myripristis murdjan (pinecone soldierfish) is the source of this 780-nucleotide long non-coding RNA. RefSeq lists it as uncharacterized. The transcript has 3 exons. The record is from RefSeq and is a predicted model, not a curated record. NCBI's taxonomy places the organism in Eukaryota, Metazoa, Chordata, Actinopteri, Holocentriformes, Holocentridae.
CUUUGUUUGAAGCCUGGUGGCUGCAGGGAGGGUUGUGUGUGCAGAGUGGUGUUGCAGCUGAAACAUCAGUGAUCUUGAGGCGUGCUGCUUAGGCCAACAUUGGACAGGAGCUGACCGUGUGCCGUUCCCCAGUGUGGGACAGGGCAGCCAUAUUAUUUAUUGGUGGAAAAUUCCCCAAGGUGGAAAGGUAUUACAAUUUUGAAUGGUAAAAUAGGAGGUCUAGUCCCUCUUUUUGCUACUGUCAUGUUUACACUGUCAAUUCCCCCCUCUAGCCUGGUUGCCAGACUGCUGCUUUGCCUGGAUGAAAUCUAACACUGUUUUGCCGGGAUUAAUGUUGGAGGGUCCUCUUGUGUUUCCAGCCAGAUUGUAGUGAAUUGUGAAAAUGUACCUGCGACCCCUAAGAUUGUUCCAGGAAUGUCAAUGUUGGACUUUGUACUGUUUUGGAAUGGAAGAUGUCUUUUUAACUAGUGUAUUAUCAACUGACUUUUAGUGUAGUUUUGCUUUGUGUUUUCUAGGCAGUGUGGAGACCCGCGGGGAGCACUUGGGCCCCUCUGGCUUGCCGUGUGAUUGUGGUUUAUGAUUUGAUGGUGGUGGUCACUUGGUGUCUGUUUUCUCUUUUUUUAUUUAUUCUUAGGAUCGUGUGGCGUGCAGUGUGCUCAUAUGCAUGGGUGUACCCUGGGCUGCAUUUGAACCUCCCCGCAGGAGUCCCACUGCCCCCUUUUCUUCUCUCCUGUAGUUUUUAGGGCAGAUGCCUCAUCUCGCAGUUAAUAUUGUCUUUUA